RNAcentral lists this ribosomal RNA (582 nucleotides) under Sporobolomyces sp. AUMC 7788. Its description in RNAcentral is "eukaryotic LSU rRNA". The stretch from base 167 to 320 matches the Rfam family "5.8S ribosomal RNA". The record is from RNAcentral. Lineage: Eukaryota; Fungi; Basidiomycota; Microbotryomycetes; Sporidiobolales; Sporidiobolaceae.
CGGAAGGAUCAGUAGGGAAUAAAUAGGGUGUACAAUUUAUCUUGGAACCCGCCUUUCUCACAUCUAUCCCGGUCCAUAGGUAUAUAAUGGGGAGCAACUUUCGAAUUGUGAGGCAUUUCUCAUUAUAAACACUAGUCUAUGAAUGUAAAAUUUUUAUAUCAAUAAAAUCUUUCAACAUCGGAUCUGUUGGCUUUCCCAUCGAUGAAGACCGCAGCGAAAUGCGAUACGUAAUGUGAAUUGCAGAAUUCAGUGAAUCAUAGAAUCUUUGAACGCAUCUUGCCCUAUUUGGUAUUCUGGAGAGCAUGUCUGUUUGAGUGUCAUGAAUUCUUCAACCCAACUGUUUCUUGUAAACAGCUGCCCAUCUGGAUCCUGAGGGCUGCUGGCUUCGCGCCCACUUCCCUCGGAAUACAUCACCAUCCCUAAUACAAGUUUGCAUUGACUUGCCGCAAUAGACUAUUCCCUAAGGAUCCGAUGUUCUGCAUUGACCCGACUUAGUUAAAGAAGCUUCUAAUUGAAAAGUCUACCUUUAGAUUACAUCUCAAAAUACCCAGGAUUACCCGCUGAACUUAAGCAUAUCAAAAA